Molecule: ribosomal RNA, 442 nt
Filed under: uncultured bacterium
Lineage: Bacteria
Description: partial 16S ribosomal RNA
Rfam family: Bacterial small subunit ribosomal RNA
Source: RNAcentral
CCUACGGGAGGCAGCAGUAGGGAAUCUUCCACAAUGGGCGCAAGCCUGAUGGAGCAACACCGCGUGAGUGAAGAAGGCUUUCGGGUUGUAAACUUCUUUUAAGAGGGAAGAGCAGAAGACGGUACCUCUUGAAUAAGCCACGGCUAACUACGUGCCAGCAGCCGCGGUAAUACGUAGGUGGCAAGCGUUGUCCGGAUUUACUGGGUGUAAAGGGCGUGUAGCCGGGCUGACAAGUCAGAUGUGAAAUUCCGGGGCUCAACCCCGGACCUGCAUUUGAAACUGUUGGUCUUGAGUAUCGGAGAGGCAGGCGGAAUUCCUAGUGUAGCGGUGAAAUGCGUAGAUAUUAGGAGGAACACCAGUGGCGAAGGCGGCCUGCUGGACGACAACUGACGGUGAGGCGCGAAAGCGUGGGGAGCAAACAGGAUUAGAUACCCUUGUAGUC